RNAcentral lists this ribosomal RNA (463 nucleotides) under uncultured bacterium. Its description in RNAcentral is "partial 16S ribosomal RNA". It matches the Rfam family "Bacterial small subunit ribosomal RNA", at positions 28 to 507 of the family's 1533-position model. The record is from RNAcentral.
GACGAACGCUGGCGGCGUGCUUAACACAUGCAAGUCGAACGGAAAGGCCUUUUCGGAGGUACUCGAGUGGCGAACGGGUGAGUAACACGUGGGUGAUCUGCCCUGCACUCUGGGAUAAGCCUGGGAAACUGGGUCUAAUACCGGAUAGGACCGCACUUUAGUGUGUGUGGUGGCAAGUUUUUUCGGUGUAGGAUGAGCCCGCGGCCUAUCAGCUUGUUGGUGGGGUAAUGGCCUACCAAGGCGGCGACGGGUAGCCGGACUGAGAGGUUGGUCGGCCACAUUGGGACUGAGAUACGGCCCAGACGCCUACGGGAGGCAGCAGUGGGGAAUAUUGCACAAUGGGCGCAAGCCUGAUGCAGCGACGCCGCGUGGGGGAUGACGGCCUUCGGGUUGUAAACUCCUUUCGCCAGGGACGAAGCGUUUUGUGACGGUACCUGGAGAAGAAGCACCGGCUAACUACGUG